Molecule: long non-coding RNA, 1577 nt
Organism: Vespa velutina
Lineage: Eukaryota; Metazoa; Arthropoda; Insecta; Hymenoptera; Vespidae
Exons: 3
Source: RefSeq, a predicted model, not a curated record
CGCCGUCGAACUCUCACGGAAAUUACCGGACUUUCUCGAAGUCGUUUCUAUCUCUACUCAAGUCGUUCUUCGUGGAUACACACGUAAUUUCAUCCUUUAAUUUCUUUUUUUUUUUUAUUUUUUUAUUUUUUUUUAAUUCGAUCAUUCAUAUUAUUAAUCUCAUAUUUCGCGUGUCUCAUAACGAAAUUUCUUCAGUUCUCUUUCGUUCGGAUUAAUGUCGUUUGUAAUUCGUUAAUUUUGUACUACUGUUGUAUUUUGAAUUUUGCAACGGUCCACUUGAUCCAACGAUCAACCGAGAGAAGAAAAAAUGGACAACGACGAUGAAAGCAACGAAGUUGGAAUGACGUACUGGUUAAAGAAAAAGAGGAUGUAGCGAGAAAGCCGUAAAUAAAGAUUAUUCCGAGGUCCUACCAUCGGUAUGUGCCGCUACAACAAGAGACGCUUUUUCUCUGCACAACAUAAAAAUUCUAAUUUACAAAUCACCUGCACGAGAAGAUAGCGCAAAAGGUCGAUUGCUGCCACUUUUGUGACGUAACUCGAUUUUAUAAAGCUCUAAUUUAUCGAUUAUCGAUAUUUAAUUUUCUUUACGAAUUCGCUCGACAGAAAUAAUCUCAAUAUUUAUAAUGGUUAAGUAAAGAAUAACAUAUGGAUAUAAUUAGAAGAUGUGGAGGAGAUACAGAGUUUGACAAAACUGUUAUUAUUUGUUAUAUGCAAUAAAAGAAAAGGUAGUUAGGAAUGUGAUUGAUUGUUUUAAUAAAUUUAAGGAUUAAAAAUCUCAAACAUUUAGAAGAUAUUAUUCAUAAUUCCAAAUUCACAAAGAAGUAAUAGUGUGAUACCCGAAGAAAAGGUGGUGGUUAGUUUCAAUAUUUCAUAGAUUUUCUUUCAACAAACGCAGCCCAGGUUACCCAAUUUGUUAUUGAAAAUACAAUAAUCGCCAAUUAGUCUCUCUCCCUCUCUCUUUAUCAUACUUUCCGAUAAAAGUUUAAAUUCCGACUUACUUAACACAUAGAUGUGGCCUAAUUGACCAACUGCGCGCUCGACUCCUUGCGACCUUCAAUUCCUAAUUACAAUUACCUUCGGGUGUUGUCGGCGUCAUGGGCUUCCGCGAGGAUCUCACCGCUAAAACGCAUAAAAAAAAAAAAACAAGGUCAUUUAAACAUCAAAAUUGUCAUAUUGGUUAUAAACUAUUAUGAGCAUAAAGCAAAUUUUUUUCAAAUUUACUCCUUUAAAGAAAAGUCCGAUACAAGAAUAAAUCAAUUAUAAUGUAUCAGUAUGUAAAAACAAAACAAGCUUCAUUCCUCGUUUGGCUCAUGUCCAUAAAUGUUAGGCAAAAAUUUAUAUUCUAACGUGAUAAAAUAUGUAGAUUUAAAAUACAUGUUUAGAAGUACAAGUCGUAUCUUACAAAAUGGAUAUGAGCAAUGACGAAGAAAAGCAUUUUUAUUUUUUACCUAAAUUUUUUUUAUGUGUAUCUCUUUUAAAAACAUCACAUUAUUUCUAAUAAAAGUGUGUUAUUUAGACGUACAUAGCUGACACGAUCUUAGCAAAAAUUAAGGAGAAAAAAAAGCCAAGAAGCGGAA